This 1463-nucleotide long non-coding RNA is filed under the name Gallus gallus (chicken). RNAcentral's name for it is "long non-coding RNA NONGGAT006694". Lineage: Eukaryota; Metazoa; Chordata; Aves; Galliformes; Phasianidae. The record is from RNAcentral.
CCCGCUGCCCAUCUUCUGUCUCGUACUCCCCGAGCAGUGCCCAAACGGAGCUCCUUUGGUGCUGAGGUCCUUCCUGCGUGCCACGUCUGUGGUUUUUGUUCUUACUGUGCGCUGAGGCGCAACUCAGCCCUCACCUGGUGGUUGUCCGGUGUAGGCAUGAACCGCGAGGGGACGCGGAGCUGCCGAAGGACCCCAGUGAACACAUCUGAAGCAAAGUAGAGCUACUUCAUUUUGAAACAGCUUCUUGAACUGAGGGGAACUAGAAAGGCACUGCCAGAGCAUAUGGAGAUCAAGACUCAUCGCUAAGCGGGUCGGCACAUUGUGAGACAAAUGAAAGGGGCAAUGCAUGUGCUAGGUGCCAUGUAAAGAGGCUGUGAGCUGCGAGGUCUAGCAGGAAGAAGGCUGCUCCAAAAUGAAUGAACCAUCUGAGAAAAGCGUCUCUGUAUUCUGUAAUUUGAGUGUGGCUCCUGUGACAUUCAGCAAACUUUGCAUCAGCUGCUAGAUUUUGGAGAAACCCACAUAAGUGAUGAUUUUAAACGGAGAUUUGAUAAUCCAGCAGGUGAGAAGCUGCAGAAAACCCACGUGGUAUCAUGACUGAUAAUAGAGUGAAGACGGAGCUUCUAAUUCAAGACACAGAGUGGUGAAUGUUAGUUUGUUGGGAAGCCAGGGGAAACAGGAGAAAAUGUGGCCCUGUAAAUCCAGUUAUGCUUCCAAAAAUAUACCACAGGAACAUUAGAUGCUAUUGGGAACACACAUAGUAGAGCUAAGUGCUCAGCAAAGCAUGCUAACCUAAUUUCAUGAUUACAUGAAAGAAGAAAACCCUGACUCAUAUUUUAUUAAAAUUGUUAUGGUGAAUCAGCAAAUUACUCUGUUUAUCUCCUUCAACGUCAGCACACUGAAGUCUGGAGCAACUUGAACUGAUCUCACUGCCCUUGUAAAUAGAAUACAUUCAGACCAGCUGAAGCUGGACUAAAUGGAAACAAGGAGUAAUUCAUCACCAAGGACAGCUGGGAAGCUCAGAAAAAUGCUAUUUCCUGACUGUCCUGGCAGAAAGGAAGACAGGCACUGUGUGUGCCUUUCAUCUCUGACUCCUUUGUCAUGCCAGAUCCCAAAUACAAACAUUUACACUCAAAAACUUUGUGGCCAUUUUAACAAGAUCUCCCCAUAUGGCAAGUGCCGGCCUUUCUACACAUAUACCCUUUUAUUCAUUUCCCUGUGGUGGCAGAGAAGGAAAUACAACUGCACAGAAAUGUAUAACCUGAUCUGGCUUGUUUAAUUGCAAAUCCAAUCUUCUCUCUCAGUAAAGCAAGCUGGGACGUCGGCAGCCCCAUCUGUAGUACCGCAUACCUCCAUGAGGAGGAGUCGUAGGAAAAAAACAACAAACCGACCUUAGUACCAAAAGGCAGAUGCACGUUUUAGAACUUGGAGUGGGUCCUGAACCAGAUCUCCCAUUUCCACCAAAG